CAGCAGCCGCGGUAAAACGUAGGGUGCAAGCGUUAAUCGGAAUUACUGGGCGUAAAGCGUGCGCAGGCGGUUUGUUAAGACAGAUGUGAAAUCCCCGGGCUCAACCUGGGGGCUGCAUUUGAGACGCGUAGUCUAGAGUGUGAAAGAGGGUCGUGGAAUUCCCAGUGUAGAGGUGAAAUUCGUAGAUAUUGGGAAGAACACCGGUGGCGAAGGCGGCGACCUGGUUCAUAACUGACGCUGAGGCGCGAAAGCGUGGGGAGCAAACAGGAUUAGAUACCCCCGUAGUCCCUGUCUCUUAUAC
RNAcentral lists this ribosomal RNA (301 nucleotides) under uncultured bacterium. RNAcentral describes it as "partial 16S ribosomal RNA". It matches the Rfam family "Bacterial small subunit ribosomal RNA", at positions 509 to 807 of the family's 1533-position model. The record is from RNAcentral.